Polyodon spathula (Mississippi paddlefish) is the source of this 640-nucleotide long non-coding RNA. RefSeq lists it as uncharacterized. The record is from RefSeq and is a predicted model, not a curated record. The transcript has 5 exons. Lineage: Eukaryota; Metazoa; Chordata; Actinopteri; Acipenseriformes; Polyodontidae.
UAAGCAAUGCAUAAAAUACCUUUAAUUGAGAACCCCUAAUGUACUUUGUGUCUUUGAUACUAACGUUCCAUAUUGUACAAGCUACGUUAAUUAUCACUAUUUUUUACUUUUUGAAUAUUUUAUUUUUAUUUUUUAUAUAGAGCGCCACAGUUACAUUUGUUGAUGGUUAUUAUUGUUUCUAUCCGGACUGAAAAUCAUGUAACUUCACCGUUUUGUAGCUCCUGUUACUAAGCAACCGAUUGAAACAUCAGAGGGAAGCAACAUGGCUAAAUUCGUGCUGACUGAUGGUAUCAUGACUCUCCCCCUGAUGAGAUAAUCUUGCUUGGAAUCCUCAGUGAAGGAAAAAAUGCAAACAAACCUUGCCAUACAGACAGUAUGGAAUUCCAGAGGAUCUUGUCUUCUCCAUGCCUGUAACAUUUCAUAAUGGGAUGUGGAAGGUAGUUUCACAGUGGUGACAGGGGAGAAAGUGUUUGCACUGAAAAAAACACUGCAGUUGCUUCUUGAAGUCACUGAGAAGAUAUUAAGACGUUAUGUAAUUGUAUUGGAAUUACAUAGACUAUAAUAAGAUAUUAAUAAAAAUCAGUGUUUUUUGCCAACAAGUUUUUUUGAUGUGAACAUGAUGUGAAAUAAAUAUUUUUAA